RNAcentral lists this ribosomal RNA (443 nucleotides) under uncultured bacterium. Its description in RNAcentral is "partial 16S ribosomal RNA". It matches the Rfam family "Bacterial small subunit ribosomal RNA", at positions 338 to 795 of the family's 1533-position model. The record is from RNAcentral.
CCUACGGGAGGCAGCAGUGGGGAAUAUUGGGCAAUGGGCGCAAGCCUGACCCAGCAACGCCGCGUGAAGGCAGAAGGCUUUCGGGUUGUAAACUUCUUUUCUCAGGGACGAAGCAAGUGACGGUACCUGAGGAAUAAGCCACGGCUAACUACGUGACAGCAGCCGCGGUAAUACGUCGGUGGCAAGCGUUAUCCGAAUUUACUGGUUGUAAAGGGCGUGUAGUCGGGAAAGCAAGUAAGAUGUGAAAACCAUGGGCUCAAGCUGUGGCCUGCAUUUGAUACUGUUUUUCGUGAGUACUGGAGAGGCAGACGGAAGUCCUAGUGUAGCGGUGAAAUGCUUAGAUAUCGCGCAGAACCCCGAUUGCGAAGGCAUCGUACCGGCUCCACACUGACGCUGAGGCACGAAAGCGUGGGUAUCGAACAGGAUUAGAUACCCGAGUAGUC